CGAUCCUACGGGACGCAGCAGUCGGGAAUAUUGCGCAAUGGAGGAAACUCUGACGCAGUGACGCCGCGUGCAGGAAGAAGGUUUUCGGAUUGUAAACUGCUUUAGAUAGGGAAGAAAAAAAUGACAGUACCUAUAGAAUAAGCUCCGGCUAACUACGUGCCAGCAGCCGCGGUAAUACGUAGGGAGCAAGCGUUAUCCGGAUUUACUGGGUGUAAAGGGAGCGUAGACGGCUGAGCAAGUCUGAAGUGAAAGGCGGGGGCCCAACCCCCGGACUGCUUUGGAAACUGUAUAGCUAGAGUGCAGGG
This 305-nucleotide ribosomal RNA is filed under the name uncultured bacterium. Its description in RNAcentral is "bacterial SSU rRNA". It matches the Rfam family "Bacterial small subunit ribosomal RNA", at positions 334 to 653 of the family's 1533-position model. The record is from RNAcentral.